GGCAUCACACUGUGAUAGUGCCAACUGUCU
RNAcentral lists this non-coding RNA (30 nucleotides) under Rattus norvegicus (Norway rat). The record is from RNAcentral. Lineage: Eukaryota; Metazoa; Chordata; Mammalia; Rodentia; Muridae.